CAAGUCGAGGGGCAGCAUGGGGGAGUAGCAAUACUCUCUGAUGGCGACCGGCGCAAGGGUGCGUAACGCGUGAGCAACUUGCCCUCAUCAGGGGAAUAAUCGCUGGAAACGGCGUCUAAUGCCCCAUGGUGAUGUCCUCAGGCAUCUGAGGUCAUCUAAAGAUCCGUCGGAUGGGGAUAGGCUCGCGUGACAUUAGCUAGACGGCGGGGUAACGGCCCACCGUGGCGACGAUGUCUAGGGGUUCUGAGAGGAAGGUCCCCCACACUGGAACUGAGACACGGUCCAGACUCCUACGGGAGGCAGCAGUGAGGAAUAUUGGUCAAUGGACGCAAGUCUGAACCAGCCAAGUAGCGUGCAGGAUGACGGCCCUCCGGGUUGUAAACUGCUUUUAGUUGGGAAUAAAAGGGGGCUCGUGAGCCCCGUAUUGUAUGUACCAUCAGAAAAAGGACCGGCUAAUUCCGUGCCAGCAGCCGCGGUAAUACGGAAGGUCCGGGCGUUAUCCGGAUUUAUUGGGUUUAAAGGGAGCGUAGGCCGGCUUUUAAGUCAGCUGUGAAAGUCCGCGGCUCAACCGUGGAAUUGCAGUUGAAACUGGAGGCCUUGAGUGCACACAGGGAUGCCGGAAUUCAUGGUGUAGCGGUGAAAUGCUUAGAUAUCAUGAAGAACUCCGAUCGCGAAGGCAAGUGUCCGGGGUGCAACUGACGCUGAGGCUCGAAAGUGCGGGUAUCAAACAGGAUUAGAUACCCUGGUAGUCCGCACCGUAAACGAUGAAUACUCGUGUCCCGCGAUAUAUUGUGGGACACUUAGCGAAAGCGUUAAGUAUUCCACCUGGGGAGUACGCC
Molecule: ribosomal RNA, 839 nt
Filed under: uncultured bacterium
Lineage: Bacteria
Description: bacterial SSU rRNA
Rfam family: Bacterial small subunit ribosomal RNA
Source: RNAcentral